GGCGAACGCCGUGCCAGCAGGCGGGGUAAUACGGAGGGUGGAAGCGUUAAUGGGGAUUACGGGGGGGAAAGCGGGCGUGGGGUGUUGGUUAAGCGAGAGGUGAAAGCCCCGGGCGUAACCUGGGGAUUGCAUUUCGAACUGGCAAGCUAGAGUACGGUAGAGGGUAGUGGAAUUUCCGGUGUAGCGGUGAAAUGCGUAGAGAUCGGAAGGAACAUCAGUGGCGAAGGCGACUACCUGGACUGAUACUGACACUGAGGUGCGAAAGCGUGGGGAGCAAACAGGAUUAGAUACCCUGUAGUC
Molecule: ribosomal RNA, 300 nt
Filed under: uncultured Hydrogenivirga sp.
Lineage: Bacteria; Pseudomonadati; Aquificota; Aquificia; Aquificales; Aquificaceae
Description: bacterial SSU rRNA
Rfam family: Bacterial small subunit ribosomal RNA
Source: RNAcentral